Molecule: transfer RNA, 420 nt
Filed under: Porphyromonas gingivalis
Lineage: Bacteria; Pseudomonadati; Bacteroidota; Bacteroidia; Bacteroidales; Porphyromonadaceae
Description: partial 16S ribosomal RNA
Rfam family: tRNA (bases 318-391)
Source: RNAcentral
AAGCCAUAUUUGUUCGACGUAUGAAUAAAACGAAUAUAACCUGCGGAUAUUCCGAUGCAAUCAAGCGGGAUGUCCGGGAGGGUGUUCUCUCUCUCUUGAAUCGAAGAUGGAGAGAUACAGGAAGAUAAGGAGUCUUUCCCUCCCCCGAGGCCUUGGUUCGUUUAUCUUUCGAGCUUUCCCUGCUUCGAACUUUGCUUCUUUUUUUGAAGCGAGGCAAAAAGGGCAAAAAGAAAAAAAUAAAGAGAGAUAAGGGGCAACGGUCAUGCAGCCCAAGGAGCUGCCACAGGCAGACGGAAGAGUUCGAAUAAGAGAGAAGCAGUCCUAUAGCUCAGUUGGUUAGAGCGCUACACUGAUAAUGUAGAGGUCGGCAGUUCAACUCUGCCUGGGACUACGGGGGAUUAGCUCAGCUGGCUAGAGCAC